AGUGAACGCUGGCGGCGUGCCUAAUACAUGCAAGUCGAACGCGAAAGUCCUUCGGGAUGAGUAAAGUGGCGCACGGGUGAGUAAUGCAUAAGAACAUGCCCUUAGAUGGGGAAUAACGUUUGGAAACGAACGCUAAUACCGCAUAAUCUCGAGAGAGUAAAGGUGGCGCCGCAAGGGCUACCGUCUAAGGAUUGGCUUAUGUCCCAUUAGCUAGUUGGCGGGGUAAUGGCCCACCAAGGCAACGAUGGGUAUGUGGUCUGAGAGGAUGAUCACACACACUGGAACUGAGACACGGUCCAGACUCCUACGGGAGGCAGCAGUAGGGAAUAUUGAGCAAUGGGGGAAACCCUGAUGCAGCAACGCCGCGUGAGUGAAGAAGGCCCUUGGGUUGUAAAGCUCUUUAGCGAGGGAAGAGGGUAGAUACGGUGAAUAAUCGUGUUUGCUGACGGUACCUCGAGAAUAAGCACCGGCUAAUUUCGUGCCAGCAGCCGCCGUAA
RNAcentral lists this ribosomal RNA (497 nucleotides) under uncultured bacterium. RNAcentral describes it as "partial 16S ribosomal RNA". It matches the Rfam family "Bacterial small subunit ribosomal RNA", at positions 29 to 523 of the family's 1533-position model. The record is from RNAcentral.